AAGUGGCCAGCAAGUUUACUUUGAAAAAAUUGGAGUGCUCAAAGCAGGCGCUACAGCCUGAACAUUAGUGCAUGGAAUAAUGGAAUAGGAUCUCGAUUCUAUUUCGUUGGCUUUCGGAGUCGAGGUAAUGAUUAAUAGGGACAGACGGGGGCAUUCGUACUGCGACGUUAGAGGUGAAAUUCUUGGAUCGUCGCAAGACGAACUACUGCGAAAGCAUUUGCCAAGAAUGUUUUCAUUAAUCAAGAACGAAAGUUAGAGGUUCGAA
This 265-nucleotide ribosomal RNA is filed under the name Oxyrrhis marina. RNAcentral's name for it is "partial Eukaryotic small subunit ribosomal RNA". It matches the Rfam family "Eukaryotic small subunit ribosomal RNA", at positions 737 to 1002 of the family's 1831-position model. The record is from RNAcentral. Lineage: Eukaryota; Dinophyceae; Oxyrrhinales; Oxyrrhinaceae.